RNAcentral lists this ribosomal RNA (401 nucleotides) under uncultured Candidatus Saccharibacteria bacterium. RNAcentral's name for it is "bacterial SSU rRNA". It matches the Rfam family "Bacterial small subunit ribosomal RNA", at positions 358 to 774 of the family's 1533-position model. Lineage: Bacteria; Candidatus Saccharimonadota. The record is from RNAcentral.
GGAAUCUUUCACAAUGGGCGAAAGCCUGAUGGAGCAACGCCGCGUGCAGGAUGAAGGCCUUCGGGUUGUAAACUGCUUUUAUAGUUGAGAAAUAUGAUGGUAAGCUAUGAAUAAGGAUCGGCUAACUACGUGCCAGCAGCCGCGGUCAUACGUAGGAUCCGAGCAUUAUCCGGAGUGACUGGGUGUAAAGAGUUGCGUAGGUGGCAUAGUAAGUAGAUAGUGAAAUCUGGUGGCUCAACCAUUCAGACUAUUAUCUAAACUGCUAAGCUCGAGAACGUUAGGGGUAGCUGGAACUUCUAGUGUAGGAGUGAAAUCCGUAGAUAUUAGAAAGAACACCGAUAGCGUAGGCAGGCUACUGGGGCGUUUCUGACACUAAGGCACGAAAGCGUGGGGAGCAAACG